GGUUACCUUGUUACGACUUAGUGGCGAACGGGUGAGUAGCGCGUGAACAACCUGCCUUUCUGAGGGGGAUAACACCUGGAAACAAGUGCUAAUACCGCAUAAGACCACAUGUCCGCAUGGACGAGGGGUCAAAGGAGCGAUCCGCAGGAAGAGGGGUUCGCGUCCCAUUAGCUAGUUGGCGGGGCAACGGCCCACCAAGGCGACGAUGGGUAGCCGAGCUGAGAGGCUGAUCGGCCACACUGGAACUGAGACACGGCCCAGACUCCUACGGGAGGCAGCAGUGGGGAAUAUUGGGCAAUGGGCGAAAGCCUGACCCAGCAACGCCGCGUGAAGGAUGAAGGUCUUCGGAUUGUAAACUUCUUUGAUCGGGGAAGAAAAAAAUGACCUACCCGAAGAACAAGCCACGGCUAACUACGUGCCGGCAGCCGCGGUAAUACGUAGGUGGCAAGCGUUAUCCGGAUUUACUGGGUGUAAAGGGCGUGUAGGCGGCUCUGCAAGUCAGAAGCGAAAUUCCUGGGCUCAACCCGGGCGCUGCUUCCGAAACUGCAGAACUUGAGUACUGGAGGGGAUAGCGGAAUUCCUAGUGUAGCGGUAAAAUGCGCAGAUAUUAGGAGGAACACCGGUGGCGAAGGCGGCUAUCUGGACAGUAACUGACGCUGAGGCGCGAAAGUGUGGGGAGCAAACAGGAUUAGAUACCCUGGUAGUCCACACUGUAAACGAUGAUUACUAGGUGUGGGGGGUCUGACCCCUUCCGUGCCGCAGUUAACGUAAUAAGUAAUCCACCUGGGGAGUACGACCGCAAGGUUGAAACUCAAAGGAAUUGACGGGGGCCCGCACAAGCAGUGGAUUAUGUGGUUUAAUUCGAAGCAAUGCGAAGAACCUUACCAGGUCUUGACAUCGAGUGACCGGCUAAGAGAUUAGCCUUUCCUUCGGGACACGAAGACAGGUGGUGCAUGGUUGUCGUCAGCUCGUGUCGUGAGAUGUUGGGUUAAGUCCCGCAACGAGCGCAACCCUUGCCAUUAGUUGCUACGCAAGAGCACUCUAAUGGGACCGCUACCGACAAGGUGGAGGAAGGUGGGGACGACGUCAAAUCAUCAUGCCCCUUAUGACCUGGGCUACACACGUAAUACAAUGGCCGUUAACAAAGGGAAGCAAUACCGCGAGGUGGAGCAAACCCCCAAAAACGGUCCCAGUUCGGAUCGUAGGCUGCAACCCGCCUGCGUGAAGUUGGAAUUGCUAGUAAUCGCGGAUCAGCAUGCCGCGGUGGAUACGUUCCCGGGCCUUGUACACACCGCCCGUCACACCAUGAGAGCCGGGGACACCCGAAGUCCGUAGCCUAACCGCAAGGGGGGCGCGGCCGA
RNAcentral lists this ribosomal RNA (1361 nucleotides) under uncultured rumen bacterium. RNAcentral's name for it is "bacterial SSU rRNA". It matches the Rfam family "Bacterial small subunit ribosomal RNA". The record is from RNAcentral.